AGCUGCGCCUGCCCGAGGAGACUCGCGGCAGCCAGAGCAGCCCGGUGACGCCCGUGGCGCGGCGCAAGGAGCGCAAGACUACUGGCACGCCACCUAUCGGUCGACGUCUGCUGAGUUCGCCUCUGCUGUGCCGCCGUCGUAUGCCCAGCUCCACCGACUCGUCUGACGAAGAGGUCACAGAGGUCACAAGGUCGCGACCUUUCACCAACCUUGAGUCGCUGCAGAGGAGUCAGGUCAAAAAUAAGCUGCGGCGUGGCAUUCGUGACUCGUCGCAGACGGACGGCGCGCCG
Pollicipes pollicipes is the source of this 290-nucleotide long non-coding RNA. RefSeq lists it as uncharacterized. The record is from RefSeq and is a predicted model, not a curated record. Lineage: Eukaryota; Metazoa; Arthropoda; Thecostraca; Pollicipedomorpha; Pollicipedidae. The transcript is spliced from 3 exons.